Molecule: non-coding RNA, 136 nt
Organism: Vicugna pacos (alpaca)
Lineage: Eukaryota; Metazoa; Chordata; Mammalia; Artiodactyla; Camelidae
Source: RefSeq, a predicted model, not a curated record
GGACUUCUGAGAAACGUCCAGGUCGUGAGGGUGGAACCCUCACAAAUGGGAUUCGGGCCCUUAUGAAAGAGACCCUAGAGAGCUCCCUUGCUGCUUCCACCCUGUGAGGACACAGUGAGAAGACGGCUGUCCAUGA